RNAcentral lists this transfer RNA (73 nucleotides) under Allokutzneria albata. Its description in RNAcentral is "Kibdelosporangium albatum tRNA". It matches the Rfam family "tRNA". Rfam says of the family: Transfer RNA (tRNA) molecules are approximately 80 nucleotides in length. Their secondary structure includes four short double-helical elements and three loops (D, anti-codon, and T loops). Lineage: Bacteria; Bacillati; Actinomycetota; Actinomycetes; Pseudonocardiales; Pseudonocardiaceae. The record is from Rfam by way of RNAcentral.
GCCCCCGUAGCCCAACGGCAGAGGCACCGCGUUCAGGACGCGGCCGGUCCAGGUUCGAAUCCUGGCGGGGGCA